RNAcentral lists this ribosomal RNA (459 nucleotides) under Eikenella corrodens. RNAcentral describes it as "bacterial SSU rRNA". It matches the Rfam family "Bacterial small subunit ribosomal RNA", at positions 30 to 478 of the family's 1533-position model. Lineage: Bacteria; Pseudomonadati; Pseudomonadota; Betaproteobacteria; Neisseriales; Neisseriaceae. The record is from RNAcentral.
AUUGAACGCUGGCGGCAUGCUUUACACAUGCAAGUCGAACGGCAGCGGGGUAGUGCUUGCACUACUGCCGGCGAGUGGCGAACGGGUGAGUAAUAUAUCGGAACGUACCGAGUAAUGGGGGAUAACCAAUCGAAAGAUUGGCUAAUACCGCAUACGUCCUAAGGGAGAAAGCGGGGGAUCGCAAGACCUCGCGUUAUUCGAGCGGCCGAUAACUGAUUAGCUAGUUGGUGGGGUAAAGGCCUACCAAGGCGACGAUCAGUAGCGGGUCUGAGAGGACGAUCCGCCACACUGGGACUGAGACACGGCCCAGACUCCUACGGGAGGCAGCAGUGGGGAAUUUUGGACAAUGGGGGCAACCCUGAUCCAGCCAUGCCGCGUGUAUGAAGAAGGCCUUUCGGGUUGUAAAGUGCUUGUUAGGGAGAAAAGGGAAGUGCUAAUACCACUUUUUGCUGACGGUAC